AGCCACCAUGUUUUCUGCACUUGCGACUAGAGAGCACCUUGAUAGCUCAGUUGGUAGAGCGGUGUACUGUAAGAUGCUCCUUGUGUGAAACGCUGUGAUCCUAAGGUCGCUGGUUCAACUCCAGCUCCAAGCACCUCCUUGUCAUUGGAAAUACCCCCAAGCCUUGUCUUUAUCUGUCAACUCCUCCAAAAUCUCAAAACACAAAGAAGAUAACUCUUUCUUUAAUUUUCAACCAUCAAUGUUUUAUUCACCCAGCCUAAAAGUCCUGAUUAUCAGUUCUGGGUCCCUGGCAAUGACUGUUGGGUACAAACUGCAAAGCUUUGUUCUGCAGGUAGGGCUGGGCUUUUCAUUGACCAUGGGUUGGAAUAGUUCUGUGGGCAUAGUGUGUCUUCGAAGCCACUAUGUUUUCUGCACUUGUGACUAGAGAGCACCUUGAUAGCUCAGUUGGUAGAGCGGUGGACUGUAAGAUGCUCCUUGUGUGAAACGCCGUGAUCCUAAGGUCGCUGGUUCAACUCCAGCUCCAAGCA
Molecule: non-coding RNA, 527 nt
Organism: Xyrichtys novacula (pearly razorfish)
Lineage: Eukaryota; Metazoa; Chordata; Actinopteri; Labriformes; Labridae
Source: the annotation of a GenBank genome assembly